RNAcentral lists this unclassified non-coding RNA (962 nucleotides) under Hevea brasiliensis (rubber tree). Lineage: Eukaryota; Viridiplantae; Streptophyta; Magnoliopsida; Malpighiales; Euphorbiaceae. The record is from RNAcentral.
GAAGAAGAAGAAGAAGAAACUCCUCAAAACAAGUCUGUGGAGGAACCAAAGUUGCUUGGUGUUCAUCCAGUAUCUAAUGAAAAGGUUCUCUUGAAGAAUGGUCCAUAUGGAUUCUAUGUACAGCUUGGUGAAGACAGGAAGGGUUUCACACCAAAAAGAGCCUCUGUUUCUCAUAUAAAGGAUGUGGAUGGUAUUACAUUGGAGGAUGCUCUGGGGUUACUGCGUUAUCCUGUGACAUUGGGUAACCAUCCAAAGGAUGGGCAUCCUGUGAUAUUAAAGCAUGCAAAGGUUGGAUUUUCUGUUAGACAUCGACGGACAAUUGCUUCAGUUCCCAAGAAUAUGAAGCCAGAUGAUGUGACCUUGGAGAAGGCAUUGGAGCUUUUAUCAGGUGCUAAUGUCAGGCACCUCGGUCGACCUAAGAGGAAAACAAAGGUUGAGGAAAUCGUGGAGGCUGUGUAGCCUUGGCAAAUGGCAAUUACAAGCCGGCUGUUCUGAUGUACAGUCACUUGUUCAAGGCAACUUUUCAACAACACAAAUCAUGUGCUUGCCAAGAUGCAUCUCAUCUCCCGCAUGGGUGUCAAGGGAUUCGAUUAAUGGAGAGAGUUGUUCUGAAUGAUGACAACCAAUUGUUAUAAUGUCAUCUACUAACCCUUUUGUUUGUUAUCAUAUUCUUUUGGGGUCAUAUUCACAGGGGAUCGCAUUAGUUAUUUGAGGUAAACGUGAAUUUCGAGUGUUGUAUUUGAUUCUUCGGACAAUGCAUUCAGAUGGAAUCUUCAUUGCAACUAUUCUUUUGGUUUAAACUACCUGGACAUUGUAAUAACAUAGUGGUGAAAAUGGGGAAAAGUUGCUGCAGUCGAAACCAGCAAUUUUGAAAUUUCGGUUUUCUUUGUAAGAUUCCUGGUUAUGGAAGUCUUUAAAUUUACGGCAAAAGCCUUCCGGAUGAUACUCUUUUAAUACCGUUC